This 743-nucleotide long non-coding RNA is filed under the name Homo sapiens (human). RNAcentral describes it as "HSALNT0328219". Lineage: Eukaryota; Metazoa; Chordata; Mammalia; Primates; Hominidae. The record is from RNAcentral.
ACUCUUGUACACCCCCUCAGACCUCCUUAAUGCCUUGCCAGCUGGAAGGAAAAGAGCCUCUUGCAUUGCCCACAAAGGAAGCAGAGAUUGAGGGGAGAAGAACUGGAGAAAUUAAAAAAGUGGAAAGAGACAGCAACACAAAUAAAGAGGUUGAGUACCAGUAGAAACCUCAUAUUUACCUGGAAGAUUACUUUUAGGAAGCUUGAAGAAUUCUCUCUUCCAACUUGGUUAAUCUGAGUUCUGUGGCACCUACAAGAGAAAUGGCUGCUUAUAUGUGACAACCUGCAGAUCUGAGCAGCAGGGGAACAAAGGCAGGGCCAACACAAUGGCACUGGUCCCGUUGAGUCCUGGGGAGUCCUCAGCUUUCAGGAGUCCCCUGAAUAUGGGGCAACCCCACAGGGAUUUCCUGUAAGAUUUUAAAUGAAGAAAGUCUUCUACUGCUGUAUAAAGAAAAAAAAAAGAAGAAGAAAAGGGAUGGAUCUCACUAUGUUGCCAAGGCUGGCUCGAGAACUCCUGGGCUCAACCAAUCCUCCUGCCUCAGCCUCCCAAAUAGCUGGGACUACAGGAGAUUAGGACUCUCAGAAGAGACACCAGAGGCGUGGCCACACAGAGAAAAAGAUCAUGUGGGGACACAGUGAAAAGGCAGCCAUCAUAAGCCACAGAGAGAGGACUCAGAAGAAACCAACUCUGCUGACACCUUCAUCUUGAACUUCUAGCCUCUAGAACUGUGAAAAAACAAAUUU